Long non-coding RNA from Canis lupus familiaris (dog), 5274 nucleotides. RefSeq lists it as uncharacterized. The transcript has 3 exons. The record is from RefSeq and is a predicted model, not a curated record. NCBI's taxonomy places the organism in Eukaryota, Metazoa, Chordata, Mammalia, Carnivora, Canidae.
UCUCCCCAAAAGGUAUAGCCUAGGAUUAGAAGUAGCUUACUGAAGAAAAAAAAAAAAUAAGCCUUUAAUAAAGUAUAUUCUUCUUUUGCUCUCCUCCUUCAACAUAUCCCAAAGCCCAAUUCUUGUACAGAUGCUACAAUCAUUUGGGAAAAAAUAAAAUGUAUUCCACUAGUGUGGAACCAGCCAAAAUAAAAGGCAAAGCCAAAUAUGAAUGUGCAAAACCUCCAGUUCCCAAACUAAAUUCAUAUAUCCAAGACAUGUGGCAUGUCAAGAGAGGACCAGCAAGACUGUACGGCUUAAAUUAACUCAUGUGUCCCCAGAGGCUUUCUUCCCACAAACUCCAGAAGCACAUUUUUAGACCUCAGAGAUGGUGGAAACCAUCCAAACUUCAUGCCAAUGCCAAAAAUGGAUUUUAAAAAAUAUGAACAUAAAACAUUAAUCAGAUAACCUAGAAUAAAUUUCUCCACUGAAGUUGUAUUUUCUUCCCUCUGUGAUGUUAGAUCAAGAUAGGCAGGUGUGCAUUAGUUGUCAGGUAAGAGCAAUCUGCCAAAGAGCACAUGCUCUCCCUGGCUGUGAUUUGGACCCCAGAGAAGCUGGGGUGCGUGUACGGGCCAUUGUUAAUUGCAUGUCUCAUUACAUUGUGUAAGCAGAUGCCAUUUGGUAUGCCUUUGAAGGAUCUUAAUGCAGGAAAACAGGAACAAAUUCAUUAAAAAACUCAAACUGGGCCUUGUCAGAAAUUUUUCUUAUCUACAGUUUUCAGUGGUUCAUAUAGAAUUAUCUUUUUUUCUCAUUCCCCAUGCCUGUGAACUACUGAAAACAACCCAUGAAUGGUGGCACAGCAUUUUGCAAACCUGAACCACUGCUUGCUUUUUUCUUAAGCUUCAUUUCUAUGUUGUUUCUGACCCUUGGAAUCCAUUUCCCCUCUUAUUGAACACAUUUCAGAAUGGUUGGCUAUAGUGGUGAUACCUUUUAUUGUUGUCCCUCAGUGGGGACUGUUUCCUCAUGGAAAAGCCUAUGGAGAAGGUCUGUGGUCCCUGGUGGAAAUGUGCUAAAUAAACCCAAAGUGGGUACUUGCUGUAUAUGCUUGUGGUAUCAGUGCAGCAAGUAGGGCUGAAAACCUGCCAGGACAGGAGGAAUCCCAUCUGUGUUCCCACCACCACCACCACCCCCACCGAGAGAGAAGCCAUGCAUUCUGCUCUCCGAAUGGGCAGCUUGGUCUUACACGUUUGCUCCUUGCCUCACCCCAACACCCUACCUUGGACCAAGACACCUCAACCUAGAAUGUCCUCUCCCAUCCCUGCAGCCACCAAUGGCAUUCCACUGUAUAAAUCCGUAUUCUCAGAUGUCUCAGAGGACUUUUAAGUUUUUCCCUGCUGUUCCCCAUUUGUUUUACCUUGGCUACUCAUCCUAGCUUCUGAAGGAGCUUCUGAAUGCCCCUAUCUGCGCAGCAAAACCCAAGCACCAUGGUAGGAGCUACAGAGCAGUUCACUGCCUUGUGCCCUUCUCUCCCAGCUAAGGAAUCUUCCAUUUUCAAACUGCUUGAGAAGCUGCACCCAAGGCAAGUUAAAGCUUCAGAGUCAGAACACUGGACAGUGACCACCUGAGAAUGUGCUCUAUUUUAAUCGACGUGAUAGCGUGUGGGAGGUUAGAGGCAUGUGGAGAAAACCAGAUGAUUUUGGAGCCUGGGAAGCUAAACGGAGCCUUCAUCAGAGGAAGCAAUCUGACUAAAGGGAUAGAAGACAGCUGAGGACCUGUGCUGGUGAGCGUCUCUCUAUAAAUAGCAGUUGAGACCCUCCCUAGUGGGAAACGCCUGGGGAAAGAGAACCCACACCUGGAAUGCUCUCAGAACUCUGCAGCCAGUUCAGAAUUUCCUGUUAACUGCGAAUAAUAAAAACAUGAUAAACAGAUCAUUAAGUUUUCUUCUGAAACAUUUAAGUAUCGGUAUAUGGGCAGCAGCUGUGAAUGAGUUGUGUCUAUAGAUAGGAAAUACAUUUUCAAAAACUCACUUAGAAAAACUGACCUUCGUUAGUUAAAGAUAUAGGGCUGCCAAUGUAUACUCAGGAAUUCUAUUUCUUCUGUAUUACUAUAACUGGAAUAUCUCCCUGCAUAUUUAUAAUUUGCCUGUCACAUGACUCCUCUGCUCAAAACCCCAAAAGUUCCCAGUUUCCUCAGUAAAACCAAAGUCCUAGAGAAGAAUGGAAGACAAGCCAUAGACUAAGAGAAAGUAUUUACAUAAGACAUAUACAAUCAAGGACUUGUACCCGAAAUAUACAAAGCAUUCCUAAAACUCAACAAUAAUAAAACAAACAGCCCAACUUAAAAAUGGGCAAAAGACCUGAACAGACUCCUUGCCAAAGAAGAUAUAUAGAUGGCAAGUAAGCAUAUGAAAACAUGCUCCAUAUCAUAUAUCAUCAGAGAACUGAAAAUUAAAACAAGGAGAAACCACUACACACCUAUUAAAAUGGCCAGAAUCCAACACCAUUUGCUGGUGAGGAUGUGGCACAACAAGAACUCUCAUUCAAUCCUGGUGGGGAUGCAAAAUGGCGCCAACAAUUUGGUGGUUUCUUACCAAACUUAACAUAUUCAUACCAUACGAUCCAGCAAUCUUGCUCCUUUGGUGCUUCAACCCAAGAGCUGAAAACACAUCCUUGCAAAAACCUGAACACAAAUGUCUACAGCAGCUUUAUUUGCCAAAACCUGGAUGUAAUCAAGAUGACCUGCAGUAGUGAAUGUGUAAAUAAACUGAGGUGCAUCCAGACAGUGGGAAACCAGAGAUAAAAAAGAAAUGAUCUGUUAAGCCAUAAGAAGACAUGGAGGAAACUUAAAUGCAUAUUUCUAAGGGACAGCAGCCGAUCUGAAGAGGCUACAUCCUGUAUGAUUUCAACUAUAUGGCAUUCUGGAAAAGGCACAACUAUGGAGACAGUAAGAUCAGUGGUUGCCAGGGGCUGGCAGAAUGAACAGACAAGCACGGAAGAUUUUCAGGGCAGUGGAACCACUCUGUAUGACACUGUAAUGGUGGAUACAUGUCAUUAUACAUUUGUCCAAACCCAUAGGGUACACAACAAAGCGAACCCUAAUAUAUACUGUGGACUUUAGUUAAUAAUGUAUCAGUAUCGGUUCAAUGGUGACAAGUAUACCGCGCUAAUGACAAUGUUAAUAGGGGAAAGAGGGGGUAGGUGGGAAUUCUCUGUACUUUCUGCCCAGUUUUCUGGAAACCUAAACUACUCUAGAAAAUAAAGCUUCUUAAUUUUUUUGAAGUCAGAGUCCCUGUGAUGGCUAAGCAAGCCCUGCACAAUCUGCUCUCUUGUUCCCUCCUUGAACUCAUCAGCCAGCUACUCUCCUCUAUUUCACAAUGAUCUCUGCUGUGUCCAGAACUUGCCAGGAAGGCUCUUACCUCAGGGCCUUUGCACAGGCUAUUCCCCUUGCCUGAAAUCCCAUCUCCCAGACAUUCACGUCAUUCCUUUGCUCAGAUUCAUGGAGUCUGGGGAUCCCUGGGUGGCGCAGCAGUUUGGUGCCUGCCUUUGGCCCAGGGCGCGAUCCUGGAGUCCCGGGAUCGAAUCCCACAUCAGGCUCCCGGUGCAUGGAGCCUGCUUCUCCCUCUGCCUGUGUCUCUGCCUCUCUCUCUCUCUCUGUGACUAUCAUAAAUAAAUAAAAAUUAAAAAAAAAAGAUUCAUGGAGUCUUUAUUUAAAUGCCACUUCUCAGUAACGUCUGCCCUAACUAUCAGAUAUAAAAUGGCAACAUUGCCUAGCUGCUGGCAUUCCCAUUCCUCCUCUUCCUGUUCCUUCUCUCCAGAGCACUUACAUGGUCUAACAUGCUAUGUAAUCUACUUGUGUCCUGCAUUAGGAAAGAGGCUGCAGAUGCAAAGUAUUCAGUCUGUCCGGGGAAAAAUGUCAACACCUGGUAGAUACAAGCAAUCAGUGUAUUAUUUGUUCAGUAAAAGUGAAGUUGAACAAUGCUGACAGAGCACCUAAAAUAUAAAAGUAGUAUCACUGUCAAGUAUGAGAAUCAAAUAUUUGAGACAGGUACUAUUCUAAAAAAAAAAAAAAACACUUGAUGGGACACAGGGGUGGCUCAUCAUUUGAAUGUCUGCCUUUGACCCAGGGUGUGAUCCCGGAGUCCCAGGAUCGAGUCCCACGUCGGGCUCCCUGCAUGGAGCCUGCUUUUCCCUCUGCCUGUGUCUCUUAUGAAUACGUAAAUAAAAUAUUUUUUAAAAAUAAAAUAAAAAUAAAAAACACUUGGAAGUAUAAUCACUACAGCCAAAGCGAUACAGAGAAAUGAAAGACAAUCUUGGGUUUUACUGUAAGUCUUAACCUUAACCCUUUCUGUCAAGAUCGACAGGUGCAUCCUGCAAAUGCCAGCUCAGCCUAGGGACAGCUGCCAGCCCCCUCCAUCCAGGGCUGCCCACAUUCAGCAUCCUGGGCUCCAUUUUCUCCUGUGUGUAUCAGGACAUCAGGUAGCCAGGAGCUGCCGGGAACUGCUGAGAGCCAGCACUCAGGUUUCAGCUUUCAUCUCUAUCACUAAGGAAAAUCGCUGGCUACAUGUUGGGUUCCCCCUAACCAGCUGGCAUGCUUUCUCAGGCCUCUGCAGGCUCCCAUCACCCAGCACUUCAAGCAGCCAUCCACAAGACCCAUAUGUUUAAUAGGGUUGCCUUAUAUUAGUUUCCUAAGUAUCACAAAGGAGCCAAAAAAAGCCACCAAAGACCUCGUGUGAUUCCGACAUUUCAGGGAGGAAGGGACAGAGGCUCACGCAGUAGACAGAGGGGAGGGACAGGCAUGAACGCCGGCAGCCGCCCACCUGCAGCUGUGACUAUCUUGCUGCCUGUGUGGCGCAGCCUCCUGUGUCUGUGACACGCUGAGAGAGUGGCCCUCUUGUGUCCCUUCAGGCAGUUUCCGCAGUUCAGGCUCAGCAAACUCCAGCAAGGGGGCCUGCUAUUCACUGCUUCUGCCCUCUGGCAUCUCCUCUGCCUGUCCAAUCUGGACUUUCAAAGGUCAGCUGCAACACAGACGUGGCAGAGAACAGGUGGCUUCCAGCAGUUCCUUGUGAAAUGGAUGGAGGGGGUGGAUUACAGACCAGACGUUAAUACAUUUAAGGCCUAAAGCCCAAGGCAAGAAUCGCCCUGCUGAGAGGCUGAGACAAGACUUUAAAACCUCGUGCUUUGGGGAUCCCUGGGUGGCGCAGCGGUUUGGCGCCUGCCUUUGGCCCAGGGCGCGAUCCUGGAGACCCGGGAUCGAAUCCCACAUCAGGCUCCCGGUGCGUGGAGCCUGCUUCUCCCU